CAAAAACAUCACCUUCUGCUAACCCAUAGAAGGCCCAGCCUGCCCGGUGACAAAGUUUAACGGCCUCGGUACCCUAACCGAGCGAAGGUAGCAUAAUCACUUGUUCUUUAAAUAGGGACCUGUAUCAACGGCAUCACGAGGGUUGAACUGUCUCCCCUUUUUAAUCAGUGAAUCUGACCUCUUCGUGAAGAAGCGAAGAUAUAAAUAUAAGACGAGAAGACCCCAUGGAGCUUCAAACAAAGUAACACCCUCUUCUACCCCCACCAUAAUAAACAAGAGCCCUGUUAACUAGCUUUUGGAUGGGGCAUCCAAGGAGUAUAAUCUAACCUCCCUGACAACUUAUCUCAGAGCUACUACUCUAAGAAACAGCAAACUGACGUAAUAUGACCCGAUUAUCGAUCAACGAACCAAGUUACCCUGGGGAUAACAGCGCAAUCCAUUUCAAGAGUCCUUAUCGACAAAUGGGUUUACGACCUCGAUGUUGGAUCAGGGUACCCCAGUGGUGCAGCCGCUACUAAAGGUUCGUUUGUUC
This 532-nucleotide ribosomal RNA is filed under the name Phrynobatrachus acridoides (Zanzibar puddle frog). Its description in RNAcentral is "partial 16S ribosomal RNA". It matches the Rfam family "Bacterial large subunit ribosomal RNA", at positions 1808 to 2582 of the family's 2925-position model. The record is from RNAcentral. Lineage: Eukaryota; Metazoa; Chordata; Amphibia; Anura; Phrynobatrachidae.